AGGACGAACGCUGGCGGCGUGCUUAACACAUGCAAGUCGAGCGGAAAGGCCCUUCGGGGUACUCGAGCGGCGAACGGGUGAGUAACACGUGAGUAAUCUGCCCCUAGCUCUGGGAUAGCUCCGGGAAACCGGGAUUAAUACCGGAUACGACCACUACGGACAUCUGUGGUGGUGGAAAGAACUUCGGCUAGGGAUGAGCUCGCGGCCUAUCAGCUUGUUGGUGGGGUAACGGCCUACCAAGGCGACGACGGGUA
RNAcentral lists this ribosomal RNA (254 nucleotides) under uncultured bacterium. RNAcentral's name for it is "partial small subunit ribosomal RNA". It matches the Rfam family "Bacterial small subunit ribosomal RNA", at positions 26 to 285 of the family's 1533-position model. The record is from RNAcentral.